Tarenaya hassleriana is the source of this 551-nucleotide long non-coding RNA. RefSeq lists it as uncharacterized. The record is from RefSeq and is a predicted model, not a curated record. NCBI's taxonomy places the organism in Eukaryota, Viridiplantae, Streptophyta, Magnoliopsida, Brassicales, Cleomaceae. The transcript has 3 exons.
UUUGGAGCUCCCGCAUGCAGGUGUAUUCGGUGGUCACACGACCCAUUUGCUAGUAUGAACUCAGAACUGGUAAAAGUCAUUACCUUUCACGGGUGAGUGGGAGAUGACGGUUGAAACACCCGGUGAAAGGGUGUAUGUGAGAAAAGACAUAACCGUAGGAUAUAACCAUUGUACCGGUUGUGUCUCUUGCAUAAACACCGCUUGAAUCCUAUAAAAGUAUAGGUUCUAUAUGACAAAUGGAGAUGCAGAAAACAUCAUAAAAGAAAACGUGAAUCAGUUUUGGUGAGUAGCAUUUGGGUUGUGAAUCUGCGAUUCCGACUCUGGUAGCCGGUUUCCGACCAUUGUCCAGAGUAUUUGAAGACUGUGAUUUCAACCAAAGAAAAGAUCGACUGAAUCGGAAAAUUUGGCACUGGUUAAGCUUCUAGAGGAGAGAGAUAAAUUCAUUGAGGUAAGCACCACUGAGUUGCAGAAUCUACGGGUAGAUAUACACAGGCUGCAGGUGCAGAAUUGGAGCCUAGCUCAAUCCAACAGCCAGUUUUUAGCCGUAUGAU